GUCGGAGCCGAUGAUGUGUCAGAUUUUCAUCCGAGUGAAAUCGUCGUGAAGAUAAAAACACAAACUUUCUCCAUAAACACACAUGAUUACGCACAUAAACACACACACUGAAUGAUAAGCAGGUGUGUGUGUGUGUGGAUGACAUCAUGUCUGAGCUGUGGACGUACUCUUCUUCCUCUCCCAUCAUGCAUCACUCCUCUGUGUCACAGUCGUCACCUUUCAGCUCCUCACCUCCUCCAGUCUUCUCCUCUUCUUCCUCACUCAGGAAUCAUGGGAACUCUCUUCAUGACAAGAUGACCUCACAUCACCUCCCUCAUCUUCAGACUCAGCUCACUUCCUCCCACUACCUCCCCCAUCCCCAAGUCACCUCCCCUCACCUCCCCCAUCACCAGGUCACCUCCCCUC
Long non-coding RNA from Scomber scombrus (Atlantic mackerel), 405 nucleotides. RefSeq lists it as uncharacterized. The transcript is spliced from 3 exons. The record is from RefSeq and is a predicted model, not a curated record. NCBI's taxonomy places the organism in Eukaryota, Metazoa, Chordata, Actinopteri, Scombriformes, Scombridae.